Molecule: long non-coding RNA, 1610 nt
Organism: Arachis duranensis
Lineage: Eukaryota; Viridiplantae; Streptophyta; Magnoliopsida; Fabales; Fabaceae
Exons: 4
Source: RefSeq, a predicted model, not a curated record
UUUAAACAAACAACUUUUCAUUUUCUUAUGUUGUAGGAGGCACUUGGAAUCAGGACAUACCUGCAUGAUCGCGGACUGAUGCAAUAUGCAGAUAAGAUAGAGGCCUGCGGGAGAAGUUUGCCGGAGCUUCUCAAUUUAAGCACUAUAGAUCUUUCUGCUCAGUUUGACAUGAAGAGGGAUCAUCAACAGAACCAGAUUCAGUGAACCAGCAUGAGCUACAAAGAAGAUAGGAUCCCAAAGCGCCUUUUAUCUAAUGGCUCCAAUAGCAUGAUGAGAUCAAAUGAAUACCCAAAGGAUAUGUCUUCAAAGGGAUCCUAGAGCAUGUGGCUGCGUGCAACCUCCUCCAGUCGUUGACCAAGUUGCUCCAUAUUCUGCUAUUGAAAAUAUAUCAGUUCAAAAGCUAACACCGGAGUAUAAGAUUGGCAUGGAACCAUUAGUGAAAACCAAGACUCCUCCAAUGAUGUCUACGACGACCAGGGUGCAUCAUGUGUAGAGCAGAAGCACACAAACUUUUCUCCCAGAAACCAAUAUUUGAUGCACUUGGGGUUAAACUAUUUGCUGUUCUUCAUGAGCACAUAGAGGCAGAGGUAUUAACAGACUUCAACUAUCACCAUUUCUUCUAUCAAUCAACUUAAAGGUAAAAGAUUUCUGGCCUAGAUACUGGGGAGGUGUUGUACUUCAAAGCUCUUGGAGGGGGCAAUCUGCUCAAGGAAAAGUUCCUAACGGUAUUUCUGUUGAAUCCUCGAUGCAGAACCAACAGCAAGGUUAGAGGAAGUAUAACCAGCCAUCAAACAAAUGCAUUCACUAUUUCACUAGAAUUCAGUUUCUUGCGAUAAUUCCAUCUCGACUACAGCCAGUAUAAUGUUCUUUGCACUCUACAAGUCUGAAGCAGGCUGUCAUUCACUCAUUCUCUUUGGGAGCAAGUAUUUAUCUCUGAUAGACAUUGGUGUGCGUAUACAGCAUGUGUAAGUGUAACUAUGAAGAUCAUUUUAAUUGAUCGUUUGGUAAUGUUGGUUUCAUGGGAAGUUUGGUGCCGGGAUGGUAAGUGUGGAUCUAUCUAUACGUUGGUUCCUUGUUGCCUCAGUUUCGUACAAAUCAUGUUUUCCCUUCUUAGAAUAUAACUUACCCUGCUCAACUUAAUUUAACAGAUAUCAAGAAAGAAAUGGUAGUUGGAGCUGGGAUUUUAUUUAUGCUUGGUAUUAUGCUUUAUAAACUUGAUAAAAGAAAGAUGGUAUUAUGAAACUAGCACUUCAAAAAGUAUUCAUAUACUCAAGGGUAGAGUCAUAUUCUGAAGUGCAAGUUUAAUGUACUUGUGUGGAUUGAGUUCAAAAUAGUCCAAAAUAUAUUUAGUCAAGAAGUUCACAGCUAACGGACAAGGAAUGAGUUGAGAGGAAGAGAGAGUUACUAAUCAGGUAUUUAAUCUCAAACUGUAUAAUUGAUUAUGUUAGUAAUAGUCUUUGAUUAUGGCCCAUCUGAUUCUCAUUUCAAGGCUAAGAUGCAUGCAUGAAAUUUUAUGCAUAUAGAUACACAAGUUACACCUUUGUAUGUACCUUAUCAGCUUCUGCACAACCAAUAUCAUAGUUGGUAUUUUAAUCAUAUCUGCUGGAGGG